AGUCGUAUGGUCUAAUGGUUAUGAUUUCUCGUUCACAUAAAUGUGUACAAAGCCCCGAGAAGGUUCCGUGUUCGAUCCACGGUACGACUA
RNAcentral lists this transfer RNA (90 nucleotides) under Xylaria sp. FL0933. RNAcentral's name for it is "tRNA-Val". The record is from RNAcentral. Lineage: Eukaryota; Fungi; Ascomycota; Sordariomycetes; Xylariales; Xylariaceae.